Molecule: non-coding RNA, 462 nt
Organism: Arachis ipaensis
Lineage: Eukaryota; Viridiplantae; Streptophyta; Magnoliopsida; Fabales; Fabaceae
Source: RefSeq, a predicted model, not a curated record
CCUCUCUGAACAUACAAUACUCUCAUUUCCUCAGUGUAAAGAAGCUCUCCGACAACGCCUUCUUCCUUCUAGGGCUUCUCCUCUCUCCGCCGGUUACGAUCUCUCCAGCUCUGUUAGGGAUUUUUGGGUCUUCCGUUGAAGCAUUGGAUUGACGUUGGUGCGGGGGUGAUUGACGACGAUCUCAGGUCUUCUUUCGCUUACUUCUAUUAACGUAACUUUCUUUUUCCUCUGCUGAAUUAUUUUGAGUAUGCUUCUCUGUCUUGACUCUUGACCUUAAAGGGUAAUCAAAUAUCUUUUCUUUUUGUGCUGUGUUUUACUUCCUGGUGUUGGUAAUGGUGGAAAUUUAAUAAAUUGAGCUCUGAUAUGAGUCUAGUAAUGAAACUUGCAACUAGCUUCCAAACUUUGCUUAUUCUAUUUUGAGUGUAAACCUGGUAUGAUAUUAUUCUAAGACUAUUUCUUAUU